This 478-nucleotide ribosomal RNA is filed under the name uncultured bacterium. Its description in RNAcentral is "partial 16S ribosomal RNA". It matches the Rfam family "Bacterial small subunit ribosomal RNA", at positions 28 to 523 of the family's 1533-position model. The record is from RNAcentral.
GACGAACGCUGGCGGCGUGCUUAACACAUGCAAGUCGAACGGUAAGGCCCUUCGGGGUACACGAGUGGCGAACGGGUGAGUAACACGUGGGUGAUCUGCCCUGCACUUCGGGAUAAGCCUGGGAAACUGGGUCUAAUACCGGAUAGGCCUCCUGGCUUCAUGGUUGGGGGUGGAAAGCUUUUGCGGUGGGGGAUGGGCCCGCGGCCUAUCAGCUUGUUGGUGGGGUAAUGGCCUACCAAGGCGACGACGGGUAGCCGGCCUGAGAGGGUGACCGGUCACACUGGGACUGAGAUACGGCCCAGACUCCUACGGGAGGCAGCAGUGGGGAAUAUUGCACAAUGGGCGCAAGCCUGAUGCAGCGACGCCGCGUGAGGGAUGACGGCCUUCGGGUUGUAAACCUCUUUCAGCUAUGACGAAGCGCAAGUGACGGUAGUAGCAGAAGAAGGACCGGCCAACUACGUGCCAGCAGCCGCAGUAA